GUGGCUGUGAUGAGUUUGUCAUGUCUCUUCUCUGACUUUCACUGAAGAAAGAUUUACCAUCUCUGAUCCUGACCC
RNAcentral lists this small nucleolar RNA (75 nucleotides) under Cyprinodon variegatus (sheepshead minnow). RNAcentral describes it as "Small nucleolar RNA SNORD111 (ENSCVAG00000010380.1)". The record is from RNAcentral. Lineage: Eukaryota; Metazoa; Chordata; Actinopteri; Cyprinodontiformes; Cyprinodontidae.